GGGGCCGUAGUUUAGCUUGGGAGAAUGCGGGGUUCGGGUCCCCGUGGUCCGGGGUUCAAAUCCCCGCGGCCCCACCA
RNAcentral lists this transfer RNA (77 nucleotides) under Thermoprotei archaeon. Its description in RNAcentral is "tRNA-Pro". It matches the Rfam family "tRNA". Rfam says of the family: Transfer RNA (tRNA) molecules are approximately 80 nucleotides in length. Their secondary structure includes four short double-helical elements and three loops (D, anti-codon, and T loops). The record is from RNAcentral. RNAcentral also lists the same sequence under 1 other name. Lineage: Archaea; Thermoproteati; Thermoproteota; Thermoprotei.